ACUCCUACGGGAGGCAGCAGUGGGGAAUAUUGCACAAUGGGCGCAAGCCUGAUGCAGCCAUGCCGCGUGUAUGAAGAAGGCCUUCGGGUUGUAAAGUACUUUCAGCAGUGAGGAAGGUGGGUAUGUUAAUAGCAUAUUCAUUUGACGUUAGCUGCAGAAGAAGCACCGGCUAACUCCGUGCCAGCAGCCGCGGUAAUACGGAGGGUGCGAGCGUUAAUCGGAAUUACUGGGCGUAAAGCGCAUGCAGGUGGUUUGUUAAGUCAGAUGUGAAAGCCCGGGGCUCAACCUCGGAAUUGCAUUUGAAACUGGCAAACUAGAGUACUGUAGAGGGGGGUAGAAUUUCAGGUGUAGCGGUGAAAUGCGUAGAGAUCUGAAGGAAUACCGGUGGCGAAGGCGGCCCCCUGGACAGAUACUGACACUCAGAUGCGAAAGCGUGGGGAGCAAACAGGAUUAGAUACCCUGGUAGGCGUG
RNAcentral lists this ribosomal RNA (471 nucleotides) under uncultured bacterium. Its description in RNAcentral is "bacterial SSU rRNA". It matches the Rfam family "Bacterial small subunit ribosomal RNA", at positions 335 to 799 of the family's 1533-position model. The record is from RNAcentral.